AUCAACUCCCAAACCCCUGUGAACAUACCUUUUGUUGCCUCGGCGGGAUCGCCCCGGCGCCUCCGGGCCCGGAUCCAGGCGCCCGCCGCAGGACCCUAAACUCUUGUUUUCUAUAUGAAUCUUCUGAGUGACACAAGCAAAUAAAUUAAAACUUUCAACAACGGAUCUCUUGGUUCUGGCAUCGAUGAAGAACGCAGCGAAAUGCGAUAAGUAAUGUGAAUUGCAGAAUUCAGUGAAUCAUCGAAUCUUUGAACGCACAUUGCGCCCGGCAGUAUUCUGCCGGGCAUGCCUGUUCGAGCGUCAUUUCAACCCUCAAGCCCCCGGGCUUGGUGUUGGAGAUCGGCCCGCCCCCGUGGCAGGCCGGCUCCGAAAUCUAGUGGCGGUCCCGCUGUAACUUCCUCUGCGUAGUAGCAAUAUCUCGCACCGGAAAGCGACGGAGCCUUGCCGUAAAACCCCCAACUUCUGAAGGUUGACCUCGGAUCAGGUAGGAAUACCCGCUGAACUUAAGCAUAUCAAUAAGCGGA
This 524-nucleotide ribosomal RNA is filed under the name fungal sp. E14415C. Its description in RNAcentral is "eukaryotic LSU rRNA". The stretch from base 150 to 303 matches the Rfam family "5.8S ribosomal RNA". The record is from RNAcentral. Lineage: Eukaryota; Fungi.